GAUGAAGAACGCAGCGAAAUGCGAUAAGUAAUGUGAAUUGCAGAAUUCAGUGAAUCAUCGAAUCUUUGAACGCACCUUGCGCCCUUUGGCUAUUCCAGAGGGCAUGCCUGUUUGAGUAUCAUGAACACCUCAACUCUCAUGGUCUGCCAUGAUGAGCUUGGACUUUGGAGGUCUGCUGGCCUGUGGUCAGCUCCUCUCAAAUGAAUCAGCUUUCCGGUGUUUGGUGGCAUCAUGGGUGUGAUAAAUAUCUACGCUUGUGGUUUUCCACCAGGUAACCUUCAGUGAUGGGGGUUCGCUGGGGCUCAUAAAUGUCUCUCCUCAGCGAAGACAGCUUUGUGAAUGUUUGAUCUCAAAUCAGGUAGGACUACCCGCUGAACUUAAGCAUAUCAAUAAGCGGAGGA
RNAcentral lists this unclassified non-coding RNA (401 nucleotides) under soil metagenome. RNAcentral's name for it is "partial contains 5.8S ribosomal RNA, internal transcribed spacer 2, and large subunit ribosomal RNA". The stretch from base 1 to 121 matches the Rfam family "5.8S ribosomal RNA", at positions 35 to 154 of the family's 154-position model. The record is from RNAcentral.